Molecule: ribosomal RNA, 200 nt
Filed under: Plenodomus enteroleucus
Lineage: Eukaryota; Fungi; Ascomycota; Dothideomycetes; Pleosporales; Leptosphaeriaceae
Description: partial large subunit ribosomal RNA
Rfam family: Eukaryotic large subunit ribosomal RNA
Source: RNAcentral
AGUAACGGCGAGUGAAGCGGCAACAGCUCAAAUUUGAAAUCUGGCUCUUUUAGAGUCCGAGUUGUAAUUUGCAGAGGGCGCUUUGGCUUUGGCAGCGGUCCAAGUUCCUUGGAACAGGACGUCACAGAGGGUGAGAAUCCCGUACGUGGUCGCUGGCCUACGCCGUGUAAAGCCCCUUCGACGAGUCGAGUUGUUUGGGA